This 497-nucleotide ribosomal RNA is filed under the name uncultured bacterium. RNAcentral describes it as "partial 16S ribosomal RNA". It matches the Rfam family "Bacterial small subunit ribosomal RNA", at positions 28 to 507 of the family's 1533-position model. The record is from RNAcentral.
GAUGAACGCUGGCGGCGUGCCUAAUACAUGCAAGUCGAGCGAACGGACGAGAAGCUUGCUUUUCUGAUGUUAGCGGCGGACGGGUGAGUAACACGUGGAUAACCUACCUAUAAGACUGGGAUAGCUUCGGGAAACCGGAGCUGAUACCGGAUAAUAUUUUGAACCGCAUGGUUCAAAAGUGAAAGACGGUCUUGCUGUCACUUAUAGAUGGAUCCGCGCUGCAUUAGCUAGUUGGUAAGGUAACGGCUUACCAAGGCAACGAUGCAUAGCCGACCUGAGAGGGUGAUCGGCCACACUGGAACUGAGACACGGUCCAGACUCCUACGGGAGGCAGCAGUAGGGAAUCUUCCGCAAUGGGCGAAAGCCUGACGGAGCAACGCCGCGUGAGUGAUGAAGGUCUUCGGAUCGUAAAACUCUGUUAUUAGGGAAGAACAUAUGUGUAAGUAACUGUGCACAUCUUGACGGUACCUAAUCAGAAAGCCACGGCUAACUACGUG